Molecule: non-coding RNA, 31 nt
Filed under: Rattus norvegicus (Norway rat)
Lineage: Eukaryota; Metazoa; Chordata; Mammalia; Rodentia; Muridae
Source: RNAcentral
UGAAUGCUCUCAUUUGCCCUCUACAUUGAUA